GUCACGUGGUCGGCGGGCGGCCUCAAGUUACCCCCUUUAAUCUAUUCUUGUACAAUCAUUUCGGAGUACGUGGUGCAGAAAACCAGAAGAAAAGUAAUUACCUUCACUUCCGGACAUAAAAAUGGCAGCAACAACAUCACGUCCGGCCAUCCUCAAUGACAUCACUUCCGGCGCUUACAGAUCACAUCACUUCCGUCUCACCUCAAUGACGUUACUUCCGGUCCCUGUUCUUAACGUCACUUCCUGCCAACCAUUUCCUGUUCCCAUAAUCCUUUUUGUAUAAAUCCACCAUUUUCUCAAAGUAAAACUGCCAAAUGUUCUUGUAAA
Long non-coding RNA from Erpetoichthys calabaricus (reedfish), 327 nucleotides. RefSeq lists it as uncharacterized. The transcript has 2 exons. The record is from RefSeq and is a predicted model, not a curated record. NCBI's taxonomy places the organism in Eukaryota, Metazoa, Chordata, Cladistia, Polypteriformes, Polypteridae.